GUAUAAGUAAUAAGAAUUAAUGGUAACGUGUAAAUUGCGAGAUAUCGAAAUAGUGAGAAAAGUGUUGCGUAGCUGUAUUGUAAUAAGGUAAUGGAAAUGCUUUAGACUUGAUUUAUCAUGGAAACUACGAGGAUAAACGUUUCACUCUUAAUAAAUUACCGUAUUUUACAAGGGGCAUUUUAUUACGUAUGCAUGUGUAUGUGUUAUGUGCUUUUUAAAAGCAAGAAGGAAAAGGUGAAGAAUAUAGCAGGAUAAGUACUGCGCGGACAACGGACGACGGACGAUGGGCUCGAGGAAAAGAGCUGAAUAAAGAAUAAUUAACCGAGGCCGAUGAUAAUGUGGACGCGUGCGCGACGAAACGGCGGCUGGUCUGCUUAGGUUCACCAGCGAUUUUCCAUUCUCAGUUGUCGAUCGAAAAGGCUGGACUGCUUGUCGACUGGCGUCGCCUUGGAUACCUUUCGGUGUAGCUAACGUUGUUUGUCGUUGCGCGAGUGAGUCGUUGAUAUUCACAGAGUGUAAUAUCGUAACUCGUACUCUAGGACACCUCGAGUGGCCCAUAUGCUUUUCGUUCAGAUUCAGUUUCCUCGAAAGAACCACUAAAGAUAGGCGGAAGAAACGAUUGGAAAAAUCACUGUUUCACGUUUUUUUUAUAAUCAAUUCAACUAAAACUUGCCAAGAUUGUAUACUUUCGAUAACUUGAAUCUUUUUUCAAAUUUAUCACCAACGCGGAAUAUAGCAAGUUGAAAGAACAUGGUUGUAUUGUUGCGUCGUAAACUGUUCGUUAUUCAAGAUUCCUAGAAAAUGUCGUGCAAAUAAUUUAACGAUUUAUAAACUCUCUUUUUCUUUUCUCCCGUUUCUCGUCUCUUAUCUUUCGUCUUUCCGUUCUUCCUUGCGUGACCUUUUACGUAACAUUAACAAAAAGAAACCCGAAGGAAGCUAACAUGUGUAAUCUUCAACAGGUGGCUCAAAGUCAAGCCUUUCGAAGGUUUCGAUAUUAAUUUAAUAAUUGUUACGCGAAAUCGUCGACAGAAUUUAUUCGUUUAAACAGAAAUGAAUUGUCUAAUUUUUAAUUUUUGUAUCGGUUUACGGUUACGAUUAAACGAUUAGACGUGAUCACGUGAUUCUGUUCUAUUUUCAGGAACCGUUUUUAACUCGGUAACCUCGAUAAACGUAAGAUUUUACUAUUUUUAAGAUAGCUCGUCCGAUUCGAGCGACUCAAAGGUGGAGGUUAACGAGCGGAAAACGAUGCGUUCGAGUCAAAGUUGAGCUUCGAGUAGACGUCCAAGUACAAAGAGAAGGAUGAGGUUCGAUAGGAAAAGAACGAUAGAUGGAACCUAGAUAGGAGAGGCAUUUGUACAUAUAUUUACUUGACAUAGUAUACCUUGAUUUCAGAUGACAAGUAGGAAUACUAUAUGUGUAAAAGAGUGCGAAGCUGUGAAGAAUGUAAAGCUUUCUUGUUAAUUUCUUGAGAGAAAGAGAUUUCGAAAGAGGUUUCGAAAAAUUAGUUAUGCAAAGAAAGAGCAGAGAUGAUUAAGGGAAAUGGAAAAGGAGCCAAAAUGGAAAAUGGAAUGAUACGGAUACGAGUUUGAAGGGCGCGAGAAGAAAAAGAGAAAAUAAGAUCGUGAAAGAAGAAUGAUUAAUGCGACAAUUUGCGUGGAUAUUUGGUCGGAGAAGAACGACUCGAGUCGUUCGAGCGUGGAAAAUGACGCGACUUCGGACGUUAUAGUGCAAGUAAUUUUUUAUAUUUUCUACGGAAAUAUCUUUGUACUGGGUGUGUUCGGGAACGCGUUGGUGUGCUUCGUCGUAGCACGAAAUCGUCAAAUGCAGACGGUAACGAAUUUAUUUAUCACAAAUUUGGCGCUGAGCGACGUGUUGCUUUGCGUGCUGGCGGUUCCGUUUACGCCUCUAUACACAUUUUUGGGCGGUUGGAUAUUCGGUAAAACCCUCUGUCACUUGGUGCCGUACGCUCAAGGUGUUAGCGUUUAUAUCAGUACAUUGACUUUGACGAGCAUCGCGAUCGAUAGAUUCAUGGUGAUCAUAUACCCGUUUCAUCCUCGUAUGAAGAUCGAUGUUUGCCUGGCCGUGAUCGUUGGUAUCUGGAUAGUGGCUUUAUUGGUCACCCUGCCAUACGGGCUUUACAUGCACUUGGAAGAACCAUACGCUUUUUGCGAGGAGCAUUGGCCGUCCGAACGGUUUCGCAAAAUCUUCAGCUCCGUCACCUCGAUACUUCAAUUCGUCUUACCCUUCUUCGUGAUCGCGUUCUGCUACACUCGCAUAUCGAUCAAGUUGAACGAUCGAAUCAGAUCGAAACCUGGCACCAAGAUACCCAACAAGAGUAAAGAAGCCGAUAGAGAGAGAAAACGACGAACAAACCGAAUGUUGAUAGCCAUGGUCACUAUAUUUGGCAUUUCUUGGCUACCUCUCAACAUCAUCAACGUUGUCGAUGACUUUUAUUCGGCCGCCAACGAUUGGUCCUAUUACAGACUUUGCUUUUUCAUGACGCAUUGCCUCGCCAUGAGCAGCACUUGUUACAACCCGUUCCUUUACGCUUGGCUCAACGAGAACUUUCGCAAAGAAUUUAAGCAAGUACUACCGUGUUUCUCGAGCACCGCUAAUGCUCCAGCUCCAACAACCACCGGAAGAUUCCGAAACGAUAAUGCGUGUAAUGCUGGUAACAACACUCUUCAGGAAUCUUUGCUACCGAGUCAUGCUCGGAACAAAACACCGAAUCAAGAGCUAUGCGAAUUGAUUGUUCUCGAUACGGUGACCGCCAACGCGCCAAGAGUCCUCCACGAGGCUGCUGAAAUUCUGUAACCCGACUCUCUGUAGCUCGAUCUUGCUGCGGUGGAACGUAUAGAUCGUUCGAUCAACGAAAUCGAUUAACUAAAUACUAUAAUGAAAUAAAGAAUAUUGCCCGUACGUACGAAACCGGUUAAAAGACAAGCCAUCCUGUUGGUCGACCAACAACAGCUGUGUUAUCUGGAAUAUUAUGUAUACACAGCUGCUCGAAAGCUCUUAAACAUUAAACGAUGGAGAAAAGGUACAAUGGGACGACAGAGAAGCAACUCUACACUUACCAUGAGAACAAGUCUUGGAAUUGGAACUAUUAGCGCUGUCAUUGGAAACUAUCGCAACAACAGCUUUUGCGUUCAUUCGUCACUCUAACGAAAAUAUUCGAUUAUAAGUGGUAACGUCCUUU
Molecule: RNA transcript, 3199 nt
Organism: Hylaeus anthracinus
Lineage: Eukaryota; Metazoa; Arthropoda; Insecta; Hymenoptera; Colletidae
Gene name: prolactin-releasing peptide receptor-like
Exons: 4
Source: RefSeq, a predicted model, not a curated record